UGAGGUGUUACUAACAUUGUCAAAGCAGGG
This 30-nucleotide non-coding RNA is filed under the name Mus musculus (house mouse). The record is from RNAcentral. Lineage: Eukaryota; Metazoa; Chordata; Mammalia; Rodentia; Muridae.